This 926-nucleotide ribosomal RNA is filed under the name uncultured bacterium. RNAcentral's name for it is "bacterial SSU rRNA". It matches the Rfam family "Bacterial small subunit ribosomal RNA", at positions 470 to 1399 of the family's 1533-position model. The record is from RNAcentral.
UGACGGUACCCAAGGAGGAAGCCACGGCUAACUACGUGCCAGCACCCGCGGUAAUAUGUAGGUGGCGAGCGUUAUCUGGAUUUUCUGGGGGUAAGGGGAGCGUAGGCGGAUGAUUAAGUGUGAUGUGAAAUACCCGGGCUCAACUUGGGUGCUGCAUUCCAAACUGGUUAUCUAGAGUGCAGGAGAGGAGAGUGGAAUUCUUAGUGUAGCGGUGAAAUGCGUAGAGAUUAGGAAGAACACCACUGGCGAAGGCGACUCUUUGGACUGUAACUGACGCUGAGGCUCGAAAGCGUGGGGAGCAAACACGAUUAGAUACCCUGGUAGUCCACGCCCUAAACGAUGAAUACUAGUUGUGGGGGUUUCAACUCCUCCGUGCCGCCGCUAACGCAUUAAGUAUUCCGCGUGGGGAGGACGGUCGCAAGAUUAAAACUCAAAGGAAUUGGGGGGGACCCGCACAAGUAGCGGAGCAUGUGGUUUAAUUAGAAGCAACGCGAACAACCUUACGUACACUUGACAUCCCGUGCAUUACUGUUAAUGGAGGAAAUCCUUUCGGGGACAAGGUGACAGGUGGUGCAUGGUGGUGGUCAGCUCGUGUCGUGAGAUGUUGGGUUAAGUCCCGCAACGAGCGCACCCCUUGUCGUUAGUUCCUACCAUUAAGUGGAGGACUCUAGGGAGACUGCCUGGGUUAACCAGGAGGAAGGGGGGGAGGAGGUCAAAUCUUCAUCCCCCUUAUGUGUAGGGCUCCCCACGUGCUCCAAUGGCUGGUACAGAGAGAGGCAAUACCGCGAGGUGGACCCACAUUUAAAAACCAGUCUCAGUUCGGAUUGUAGGCUGAAACUCGCCUACAUGAAGCUGGAGUUACUAGUAAUCGCGAAUCAGAAUGUCGCGGUGAAUACGUUCCCGGGUCUUGCACACACCGCCCGUCA